RNAcentral lists this transfer RNA (93 nucleotides) under Thalassobaculum litoreum DSM 18839. RNAcentral's name for it is "tRNA_Ser_GCT". It matches the Rfam family "tRNA". Rfam says of the family: Transfer RNA (tRNA) molecules are approximately 80 nucleotides in length. Their secondary structure includes four short double-helical elements and three loops (D, anti-codon, and T loops). Further hydrogen bonds mediate the characteristic L-shaped molecular structure. tRNAs have two regions of fundamental functional importance: the anti-codon, which is responsible for specific mRNA codon recognition, and the 3' end, to which the tRNAs corresponding amino acid is attached (by aminoacyl-tRNA synthetases). tRNAs cope with the degeneracy of the genetic code in two manners: having more than one tRNA (with a specific anti-codon) for a particular amino acid; and 'wobble' base-pairing, i.e. permitting non-standard base-pairing at the 3rd anti-codon position. Lineage: Bacteria; Pseudomonadati; Pseudomonadota; Alphaproteobacteria; Rhodospirillales; Thalassobaculaceae. The record is from RNAcentral. RNAcentral also lists the same sequence under 1 other name.
GGAGGGGUGGCCGAGUGGCUGAAGGCGGCGGUUUGCUAAACCGUUGAAGGGGUAAUGCCCCUUCCGUGGGUUCGAAUCCCAUCCCCUCCGCCA